AUCCGGAAGUGCACAUUAAUACAAUGAAACACAUGCAUUAAUAACAGGAAGUGCACGUUAAUAACAGGUACUAUACGGAAGUACAUGUUAAUACAAGGAAACACAUGCAUUAAUAACAGGAAGUGCACGUUAAUAACAGGUAUUAUCCGGAAGUACAUGUUAAUACAAGGAAACACAUGCAUUAAUAACAGGAAGCGCACAUGUUAAUAACAGGUAUUAUCCAGAAGUACAUGUUAAUACAAGGAAACACAUGCAUUAAUAACAGGAAGUGCAUGUUAAUAACAGGUAUUAUCCAGAAGUGCAUGUUAAUACAAGGAAACACAUGCAUUAAUAACAGGAAGUGCACGUUAAUAACAGGUAUUAUCCGGAAGUACAUGUUAAUACAAGGAAACACAUGCAUUAAUAACAGGAAGUGCAUGUUAAUAACAGGUAUUAUCCGGAAGUACAUGUUAAUACAAGGAAACACAUGCAUUAAUAACAGGAAGCGCACAUGUUAAUAACAGGUAUUAUCCGGAAGUGCACAUGUUAAUAAGAAGAAACGCCACAUUAACAGGAU
Molecule: long non-coding RNA, 556 nt
Organism: Brienomyrus brachyistius
Lineage: Eukaryota; Metazoa; Chordata; Actinopteri; Osteoglossiformes; Mormyridae
Exons: 4
Source: RefSeq, a predicted model, not a curated record